RNAcentral lists this ribosomal RNA (462 nucleotides) under uncultured bacterium. RNAcentral's name for it is "partial 16S ribosomal RNA". It matches the Rfam family "Bacterial small subunit ribosomal RNA", at positions 28 to 507 of the family's 1533-position model. The record is from RNAcentral.
GACGAACGCUGGCGGCGUGCUUAACACAUGCAAGUCGAACGGAAAGGCCCUUCGGGGUACUCGAGUGGCGAAAGGGUGAGUAACACGUGGGUGAUCUGCCCUGCACUUUGGGAUAAGCCUGGGAAACUGGGUCUAAUACCGAAUAUGAUCAUCGGCUUCAUGGUCGGUGGUGGAAAGCUUUUGCGGUGUUGGAUGGGCCCGCGGCCUAUCAGCUUGUUGGUGGGGGAAUGGCCUACCAAGGCGACGACGGGUAGCCGGCCUGCGAGGGUGACCGGCCACACUGGGACUGAGAUACGGCCCAGACUCCUACGGGAGGCAGCGGUGGGGAAUAUUGCACAAUGGGCGCAAGCCUGAUGCAGCGACGCCGCGUGAGGGAUGACGGCCUUCGGGUUGUAAACCUCUUUCAGCACAGACGAAGCGCAAGUGACGGUAUGUGCAGAAGAAGGACCGGCCAACUACGUG